RNAcentral lists this ribosomal RNA (454 nucleotides) under Baaleninema simplex PCC 7105. RNAcentral describes it as "bacterial SSU rRNA". It matches the Rfam family "Bacterial small subunit ribosomal RNA", at positions 1 to 499 of the family's 1533-position model. The record is from RNAcentral. Lineage: Bacteria; Bacillati; Cyanobacteriota; Cyanophyceae; Oscillatoriales; Oscillatoriaceae.
NNNNNNNGAGAGUUUGAUCCUGGCUCAGGAUGAACGCUGGCGGCGUGCCUAACACAUGCAAGUCGAACGAAGUCUUCGGACUUAGUGGCGGACGGGUGAGUAACGCGUGAGAACCUGCCUCGAGGAGGGGGAUAACAGUGGGAAACUGCUGCUAAUACCCUAUAUGCCGAAAGGUGAAAAGAAAUUUGCCUUGAGAGGGGCUCGCGUCYGAUUAGCUAGUUGGUGAGGUAAGAGCUUACYAAGGCGACGAUCGGUAGCUGGUCUGAGAGGAUGAGCAGCCACACUGGGACUGAGACACGGCCCAGACUCCUACGGGAGGCAGCAGUGGGGAAUUUUCCGCAAUGGGCGAAAGCCUGACGGAGCAACGCAGAGUGGGGGAAGAAGGCCUUUGGGUUGUAAACUCCUUUUCUCAGGGAAGAAGAACUGACGGUACCUGAGGAAUCAGCCUCGGCUA